UACGUAGGGCGCGAGCGUUGUCCGGAUUUAUUGGGCGUAAAGAGCUCGUAGGCGGUUCGUCGCGUCGGCUGUGAAAACCUGAGGCUCAACCUCAGGCCUGCAGUCGAUACGGGCGGACUUGAGUACUGCAGGGGAGACUGGAAUUCCUGGUGUAGCGGUGAAAUGCGCAGAUAUCAGGAGGAACACCGGUGGCGAAGGCGGGUCUCUGGGCAGUAACUGACGCUGAGGAGCGAAAGCGUGGGGAGCGAACAGG
Molecule: ribosomal RNA, 253 nt
Filed under: uncultured bacterium
Lineage: Bacteria
Description: partial 16S ribosomal RNA
Rfam family: Bacterial small subunit ribosomal RNA
Source: RNAcentral